CAGAAAAUAGUUUAAGUAAAAUUUUAAUUUUGGAGAUUAAGGAUAGAGGUUUAUCUUUUUCUGA
RNAcentral lists this transfer RNA (64 nucleotides) under Microrhagus sp. ZM-2022. RNAcentral's name for it is "tRNA-Pro". Lineage: Eukaryota; Metazoa; Arthropoda; Insecta; Coleoptera; Eucnemidae. The record is from RNAcentral.